Molecule: long non-coding RNA, 1196 nt
Filed under: Homo sapiens (human)
Lineage: Eukaryota; Metazoa; Chordata; Mammalia; Primates; Hominidae
Description: HSALNT0380370
Source: RNAcentral
GAGAGCUGAAAAGAGCAGGUCACCAAUGACGAGAGAAACAUAAUUGAGGUGGAAGGAUCCAGAAGAAAGGAACCAGUGAUGAUGAGGACAGAGGGCUCUCCACGGGAAGGUGGGAGAGAAUUUAGUUCUCUGUGCCGUGAAGAUGGGAUUGGAGCCAUACAUGUAGUACCUGAGGAAGGCAAGAAAGGAUAUAAAGAAAAUAAGAAACAACACUUUCUCUGCACAUCCAAAUUGUGGCAAGGAUUUUUGCAGAUUGCCACCAGUUCACUGAGAGGAGUCAUUGAAAACAUGGCAUUGAGGACAGAGACUGCCACUUCAGAAUUUUCUACAUCCAACUGCUGAAGCCACUCGAAGAUAUUUCCCUCAGAGAACCAUAACCAGCUUUGGAGAAGAUGCUUCCACAUAGCUUGUUUCACAGCAUCUCAUCUCUCAUUAAAACCUUGUUGAGGGAGCAUUACUGUCUGAGCAAUGGACAUAGCUCUCAUACGAACCUUUUCAGCUAACACCGGAUAAGCCAGCUUUCUGACAGCCUCUUUCACAUCCUUGGUGCACCCUACAAUUUUUGGCAAAGUCUUUGCUGAUGGUGCAAUACAUGAUAACACUGCCUGUCUAAGUUCUGGAUUCAAAUCAAUCAUUUUCGAUCAAAGUAGCAUAUGCAUUAACCACUGGGCAUUCAUCAUCCUUUGGAUCCUGAAGUCGUGAAAGCGCCAGAACUGCCUGUAUUCUCACAUUUGGAAUCUUAUCUUUCAGUCUAAUAAGCAUGGCUUCAUUAAUUUUGUCAAACACACCAUCAUCAAUCUGAGCUUCUUCUGGCAUACUUCUCAAAAGCUUGUUUAUGCAGCUCCUGGUUCUUGAACUAACGUAGGCAUCAGCACAGCUGAUUCUCAUUCAGGAGAAGACAGUGCUGUGCCCAGGGGCCCCUGAGCCAUUGCCCAGCUUUCCAGCUUUCCAGGAAGUCUGCACUGGAGAAGCAUUCAACCUCCUCUGAGCUAACAUUUUCAUGUGCACACGUGAUUAUGAGUGUGAUACAGACAUUAUUUUACUUGUGUAACUAAUUUUUAAAUCAGACUAAUAAAAAAAGUUAUCAGUCUAAAUUUUUGCCUGUCUUUUGGACUGUUGGAAUGUAGUGAGACAGUGGGAUCAGUGACAGAACAUCUCCCAUGGGGCACUGCAUCAUGGUGAGGGGGCACAUGAAG